This is a non-coding RNA of Paramuricea clavata, 68 nucleotides long. NCBI's taxonomy places the organism in Eukaryota, Metazoa, Cnidaria, Anthozoa, Malacalcyonacea, Plexauridae. The record is from the annotation of a GenBank genome assembly.
CUCACUGUAGCUCAUUAGAGAGCUGCACUGGAAUUGCAGGGCCGUAGGUUCGAUUCCUGCCAGAGGGC